AUUAGGCUCAAGAAAAACGCGGUGCGUGAGAUACACGGUCAACACUACAAUCCUAUCACAUUACAUAUUUAGAUUAGACAUGAAAACAAAGUUGCAUUUUCUACCGCACACACCCAUAGCGUAGCAAUAGCAUAUCUAUGGCUUCUACUUGUUCUUCCUCUUUUUCCGUUACCAAAAAAUAUGAUGUUUUCAUCAGCUUUAGAGGAGAGGAUACUCGCGCUGACUUCACUAGCCAUCUUCAUGCUGCUCUGCGCAGAAACAACAUCGAUACAUACAUAGACUACAGGAUCCACAAAGGAGACGAGAUCUGGGUAGAAAUCAUGAAAGCAAUCAAAGAGUCCACUCUCUUCUUGGUUAUUUUCUCAGAGAACUAUGCGUCUUCUAGUUGGUGCUUGAAUGAACUCAUCCAACUAAUGGAAUACAAGAAACAUGAAGAUGUUGAUGUUAUUCCGGUGUUCUACAAAAUAGAUCCAUCUGAGGUACGCAAACAAAGUGGGAGUUAUCACAUGGCAUUCGCAAAACACGAGAAGGAUAGAAAGGUGACGGAGGACAAGAUGCAAAAGUGGAAGAACGCUCUCUAUGAAGCAGCCAAUUUAUCAGGCUUCCUUUCUGAUGCGUACAGGACUGAAUCUAACAUGAUUGAAGACAUUAUCAAAGUUAUUUUGCAAAAACUAAAUCAUAAGUACCCAAAUGACUUUAGAGGCCAGUUCGUAUCUGAUGAAAACUAUGCAAGCAUUGAAUCAUUACUGAAAAUUGAUUCAGAGGAAGUUCGAGUCAUUGGAAUUUGGGGCAUGGGAGGUAUUGGUAAAACAACUAUUGCUGAGGUUAUUUUUCAUAAGAUUUCAUCUCGGUAUGAAGGCAGUAGCUUCUUAAAAAAUGUGGCAGAGGAAUCAAAAAGGCAUGGCCUAAAUUACAUAUGCAAAGAACUUCUUUCUAAGUUACUAAGGGAAGAUCUUCAUAUUGACACUCCUAAGGUGAUACCCUCUAUCAUUACAAGAAGACUCAAGCGUAAGAAAGUUCUUAUCGUACUGGAUGAUGUGAAUACCUCGGAACUUCUUGAAAAUUUGGUUGGAGUGGGCCGUGACUGGCUUGGAGCUGGUAGCAGAGUCAUUGUGACAACCAGAGAUAAGCAUGUAAUUAUGGGUGAAGUUGUUGACAAAAUUCAUGAAGUCAAGAAAAUGAACUUUCAAAACUCCCUGGAACUUUUCAGCUUAAAUGCCUUUGGCAAAACCUAUCCUCAAAAGGGGUACGAGGAAUUAUCAAAAAGAGCAAUGGGUUAUGCCAAAGGAAUCCCUUUAGCUUUGAAAGUUUUGGGAUCAUUGCUCCGUUCUAGAAGUGAAAAUGAAUGGGAUAGUGCACUAAGUAAAUUAAAGAAAAUUCCCAAUCCAGAAAUUCAGGCAGUGUUCAGAUUGAGUUAUGAAGGAUUAGAUGAUGAUGAGAAAAACAUUUUUCUUGACAUAACUUGUUUUUUUAAAGGGCAAAGAAGAGACCGUGUAACAAAAAUAUUAAAUGACUGCAAUUUUUCUGCAGACAUAGGGAUAAGAAGUCUUUUAGACAAAGCUCUUAUCACUAUUACAUCAGAUAGUAAUUGCAUAGAUAUGCAUGAUCUGAUACGAGAAAUGGGUAGAGAAGUUGUUCGUGAAGAAUCCAUGAAAAACCCUGGGCAACGCAGUAGAUUGUGGGAUCCUGAGGAAGUCAUUGAUAUAUUGACAAAUAAUGGAGGAACUGAUACAGUUGAAGGAAUAUGGUUAGAUAUGACUCAAAUUUCAUAUAUAAAUUUAAGCUCCAAAGCAUUCAGAAAGAUGCCAAACAUGAGAUUACUUGCUUUCCAAUCCCCCAAAGGAGAAUUUGAGAGAAUUAAUUCAGUGUACCUUCCAAAGGGUCUUGAAUUCUUACCUAAAAAUUUAAGAUAUUUGGGGUGGAAUGGAUAUCCAUUAGAAUCUCUACCAUCAAGUUUUUGCCCUGAGAAGCUUGUUGAGCUUUCUAUGCCAUAUAGCAAUCUGGAAAAACUUUGGCAUGGAGUACAGAAUUUGCCAAAUUUAGAGAGAAUUGACCUUCAUGGCUCCAAGCACCUUAUGGAGUGUCCAAAGUUGUCUCAUGCACCAAAUCUUAAAUAUGUAAGUAUGCGUGGUUGUGAAAGCUUGCCUUAUGUUGAUGAAUCAAUUUGCUCUCUCCCGAAGCUUGAAAUUUUAAAUGUGAGCGGGUGCUCAUCGCUUAAGAGCCUUAGCAGCAACACUUGGCCACAAUCUCUUCGAGCGUUGUUUUUAGUACAAUCAGGUUUGAAUGAACUGCCCCCAUCAAUUUUGCAUAUCAAGAAUCUCAAUAUGUUUUCUUUUUUAAUUAAUAAUGGUCUUGCGGAUCUUCCUGAAAACUUUACGGAUCAAAUCUCGCUUUCUGAGUCAAGGGAACACAAAUGCGAUGCUUUCUUCACCUUACAUAAGUUAAUGACUAACUCUGGCUUCCAGUCAGUAAAACGUCUAGUAUUUUAUCGAAGCUUGUGUGAAAUCCCAGACAACAUCUCCUUGUUAUCAUCAUUGAAAAACUUAUGCUUAUGUUAUUGUGCCAUCAUAAGGUUACCCGAAAGCAUUAAGGAUCUUCCAAAACUAAAAGUUCUUGAAGUUGGUGAAUGCAAAAAACUUCAACAUAUACCUGCACUACCACGAUCCCUUCAGUUCUUCCUUGUUUGGAACUGCCAAUCUCUUCAGACAGUGUUAAGUUCAACAAUUGAAUCAUCCAAAAGACCCAACUGUGUUUUCCUGCUCCCUAACUGUAUAAAAUUGGAUGCACAUUCAUUUGAUGCAAUUUUGAAAGAUGCCAUUGUUAGGAUUGAACUUGGAUCAAAACCAUUGCCAGCAACAGAAUUAGAAAAUGAGGAUGCAUCCUUGGAGAAUGAGGAUGGUGAUUUUUAUUAUUUUCAAUUAGCAAGAAAUGGUAAGAUUUGCUACUGUUUACCAGCUAGAAGUGGCAAAGUUCGAGAUUGGUUCCAUUGCCACUUUACACAAGCUUUGGUCACUGUUGAACUUCCCCCUAAUUUGCUGGGUUUUAUUUUCUACUUUGUUGUUUCUCAAGUCCAAUCAUGCAACAUUGGUUGCUAUGGAAGUAUUGGAUGUGAAUGCUACUUGGAGACUAGCCGGGAUGAAAGGAAGAAUAUAUCAAGUUUCUUUGUACAAGAAAAUAUCUUGUCAUGUCUCGAUCCUCCGUUUGGAUUUACGGAAGAUCACGUAUUUAUAUGGUAUGAUGAACAAUUUUGCAAGCAGGUAAUUGAAAUAAUUAAAGAGAGGAAAGCCAUUAAUGAUAAGAGCACCACUCAUCAUCCAAAGCUUACAUUUAAAUUCUUUGUUCAAACCGAAAAUAACAACGAUGAAGUGGUUAUAAAAGAGUGUGGGUUUCGUUGGAUGUAUUCCUUUGAAGAAGGAGGAUGCAAAUACAAGGAAAGCAGGGAAAUUCAUGAAGUAGAACCCAGUGUUGUCCAAAAUAAAGUCAAGGAAUCUGAGUCUAAUGAGCAAGAAACAUUUCCUCCAACAAAAGAAUUUAAGCAAUGUGUCUUCAGAACUUCAAACUUUGAAGCAGAAGAAACAGAAGACCUGAGUUGUCUUCUUGAAGAACUCUUGCAUAUUGGAUUUGGUGGAGACCUCAUGUAACAAGAUGAAAUUGUGGUGCCACUCUGUUGCAAUAUGAAGAUGUACAAGCAAAAGGAUGGAGAGACAUAGGUGGUUGAUUGUGACCUUUUUCGGGAUUGCAAAGUAGUGGGGCACGAGAUUCAUGAAGGAGUAAGGGGUUUGGUGGGCUAGUAAAGGGAAGAGAGUGUUGAUGGUCUGACAUGGAAAUUUAGGCAUGGAAGUGUGCCUAGAUCUUUGCAACCAUAAUACUACACUUUCUCCCAUGGUUAGAGACACAGUAAGAACUCUCUUUCUCCUUAUGUGUUUUUAUCUUUUUUUCUCUUUAUUUUUCCACGUCAAAGGUAAUGCAAAGUUGUGUAUGUUGGAUAACAUUUUACAAGUCCAUCGUGUUUUGGAAUCACUUAUUUAAGAUGAAUAAAGCUAAUUUAGUGUAAUGAUCAUGGAAUCAACCACUAUCAUAAUUUUAUUAGAAAUGAAAUUUCUACAAUUUUCAAUUCCUGAAUUCAUUAUGAACAAGAACAUCUCUAUUUAUUUAUGCUACUUUACACAUGUACCAUACACUUCCAUUAGACCAAGCAAGCAAAAACCCAAAAGAAGGCACCAUCUUAGAUAUGCAAUAGAGCUAUAUACUAGUUGCACCAUCUAUUAAGUUGUCUUUCUAAUUGUUGCAUCAAUGUUUCUCAAUUUAAAUACUCUUUUUGUGAAGCAAAAUUAAUAAAUAGUUGGUUUUCUAGAAAAUUUGCCAUAACAAAUGCUUGUUCUUGCUCAUAAUGGAUUUAGGAACUGAAAAUUGCUAAAAUUUCAUUUUCAAUCAAAUUACGGUACAUAGUGGCUGAUUCUAGGAUCCUUUCACCAAUUUAAAACUAUUUAACAUGAAUAAAGCUAAUUUAGUAUGAGGAUCCCUGAAUCAGUCACUAUCACAAUUUGAUUAGAAAUAAAAUUUUUGUAAUUUUUAGUUUCUGAAUUUAUUAUGAGCAAGAAUAAACAUCUAUUAUGGCAAUUUUUCUGGAAAAUUGGUUAUUUAUUAAUGUUGCUUCACAAAAUGAGUAUAUGAAUCGAGAAGCACUAAUGCAGCAAUUGGAAAGACAAAAUCAAUAAAUUACAUGCGAUAGAAAGUAGUCAACAAGUAGAUAUCUUUAUUACUUGCACAUCUAUGAUGGUGCCUUCUUUUGGGUUAUUGCAUGCUUAGUUUAAUGAAAAUGUAUGACACUUCUACAGGUAACCUUAAUAAAUAGUCGGUUUUCAAGAAAAAUUGUCAUAUCAAAUACCUAGUCUUGCUCAUACUGAACUCAGGAACGGAAAAUUACAAAAAUUUCAUUUCUUAUAAAAUUACGAUAAUGGUUGAUUCUAGGAUCCUUAUGCCAUUUUGAACUUAUCUAACAUGAAUAAAGAUAAUUUAGUGUAAGGAUCUUGGAAACAACCACUAUGGUAAUUUGAUUAGAAAUGAAAUUUCUGCAAUUUUCAAUUAUUGAAUUCAUUAUGAAAAAGAACAUGUCUCAGUUAUAGAAUUUUUUUUUUGAAAAAUCAACUAUUCAUUUUUGCUACCGAGCACAUGUACCGUACACUUUCAUUAGACCAAGCAUGUAAUAACCCAGAAGAAGACACCAUUUUAGAUGUGCAAGAAAUAGAGUUAUGUACUUGUUGACUACUUUCUAUCACAUGCAAUCUAUUAUAUUGUCUUUUCAAUUGUUGCAUCAAUUUUUCCUAGUUCAUGUACUCAUUUUGUUAAGCAGCAUUAAUAAAUAGUCGAUUUUUAGAAGAAGAAAAAAAUUGUCAUAAUAGAUGCAUGUUCUUGCUCGUAAUAAAUUUAGGAACUAAAAAUUGAAAAUUUCUCAUUUAUUAUCAAAUUAUGGUAGUGGAUGAUUCCAGUAUCCUUACGUCAGUUUGAACUUAUUUAACAUGAAUAAAGUUGAUUUAGUGCCAAGAUCCUAGAAUCAGUUACUAUCAUAAUUUGAUUAGAAAUGAAAUUUCUACAAUUUUUCAGUUCCUUAAUUCAUUAUGAACAAGAGCAAACAUAUGCUAUGACAAUUUUUUUGAAAAAUCAAUUAUUUAUUAAUGCUACUUCAAAAAAUGAGUAUAUGUGUUAAGUUUGGACGGCCCACUUAGUCACAACUAGACGAUCCAUCCUUGCUCAUGAUUUUGAUGAUUACAAAUAUAUAAAUUAUUGAAGGAAUGAUGAGUUAUUCUUAAGUAAAACAAGACUUACUACAUAUGAGCAAACCUGGUAAUAACUCUCUAUCUUAAUGCUCUUAUUAGUCAUGUUCAUUCACAACGGACCUUAGUUUUAUUAAAAGUAGCAUUCAGUGUCCAAUGGGCUAUUAUAAACUAGCAUCCACUCUGUUAUGAAAACUAGUGUCUAUACAUUGUGUUCUUUUAGUCAUGUCCAAUGGACCUAUUCACUUACAUAAACUGAAUUAUAUUAAGUAUAAGUGACAUCCAACCAUGUACUGAAUUCAUGUUAGCAAAAAAGAAAGGUACAUGAACUUAUCUUUAGUAAAUUCAUUUUGACUCUUUUAUUUUGAAUUACUAACAUUCGAAUUUCGAGUAAGAAAGGAUAGAAUAAAAGAAUUUUGAAAGAAUAUUCUUCCAAGUAGUUAGUGUUGUAAAGGAUGGAGCACAUGUUAUUGUUUAUACUUUUAUUCCUUCUCUCUCCAUGAGAACACAAUGUGUGUCAAUGCCUCUAGUUGUGAGACAAUGGUCUUAUCAAGGCAAGUGUUAAUCCUAUAACAAAUCUCUACACUAAAGUAUAUUAAAGCUCAAGCUCUGCUAUUAGAAACAAAAAGAACGAAAAGAAAAAUGAGAAAGUGAUAUUCAAAGUUAUCAUUUCUGUCAACACAGUGGAUGAUACCUUCCUUUCUUAAGUUGUUUAUUCUUUGCUUACCAAAGUUUUUUCAUUGUAUUCGAGCCUAAUUGUUUAUCCACUCUAUUGAGUAUUUUGAAUAUAUGAUUCAAUUAAUCAUUUGUUGUUUGUGAAAGUUAGGAGUGACUUAGUGUUAAAUAAUACUUGGGUGUUUUUAGAUUCAAGGGAAGUCUAAGGAGUGUGCCAGAAGUGGCCUAAAGAAUAUUGUUGUAACUAGGAGUGGCAGGACAUAAUACUUGUUGAAAACAAGUUUUGAUUAGUAGAAUCCUUUAUUGGUUUGUAAAAGAAAACUAGAUGUAGCUCUGUUUGAGUGAACCAGUAUAAACAUAAGUGUUUCUACUUCUCUCCAAAUUUAUUUGAUUAGUAUUCUGUUGUGCUUCCUUUUGACAUAUUUAUCACACAAGUCUACACUUGAAGAGCUUUGUGAAAACUCUAUUUAUUAGCAUUGGACAACAAUCCUUGUUUUGUUUUAAACAAGUAGUUUUUUCACUCAUUGGACGAUACACUCUAAGUCCGGUAUUUCAAUAUAUUUGUUUGUGAAAAUCAUAUUCUUUGCAAAGAGCUUUAAGUUUUAUCUAACACACUAUUCAAUUCCCCCUUCUAGGGUGAUAUUUUAUAUUUCAAUAUGAACCAGAAAACAUUGAUGCAGCAAUUGCGAAGACAACUGCAUAGAUUGCAUGUGAUAGAAAGCAUUCAACAAGUAGCUUUAUUACUUGCACAUCUAAUAUGGUGCCUUCUUUUGGGUUAUUGCAUGCUUGGUCUAAUGUAGGUGUAUGUUACAUUUAUUAGGUAGAAUAAUAAAUAGUCAGUUUUCCAAAAAAAAACUGCCAUAAUAGAUGUCUGUUCUAAUCAAAUCAUGAUAAUGGCUAAUUCCAUGAUCCUUACACUAGUUUAAACUUAUUUAACAUGAAUAAAGCUAAUUUAUUGUAACAGUCAUGGAAUUAGCCACAAUGGUAAUUUGAUUAGGAAUGAAAUUUCUACAAUUUUCAAUUCCUGAAUUCAUUAUGAACAAGGACAUGUCUAUCUUAUAGCAAUUUUUUUUUUUUGGAAAAUUGACUAUUUAUUUAUGCUACUUCAUACAUGUACCAUACACUUCCAUUAGACCAAGCGUGCAAUAACCUAGAAGUAGGCACCAUAAUAGAUGUGCAAGUAAUAGAGCUAUAUACUUAUUGACGGCUUUCUAUCGCAUGCAAUCUUUUGAGUUGUCUUUAUAAUUAUUGCAUCAAUGUUUCUUGGUUUAUAUACUGCUUUUGUAAAGUCACAUCAAUAAAUAGUCGAUUUUUCAAAAAAAAAUUGUCAUAAUAGAUGCUUGUUCUUGAUAAUAAUGAAUUAAGGAGCUAAAAAAUGCAUAAAAUUCAUUUCUAAUCAAAUUACGGUAAUUACUGAUUCUAGGAUCCUUACACUAGUUUAAAGUUAUUUAACAUGAAUAAAGCUAAUUUAGUGUAAGGAUCCUAGAAGCAACCACAUUCGUAAUUUGAUUAGAAAAGAAAUUUUUGCAAUUUUCAAUUCUUGAAUUCAUUAUGAACAAGAACAUGUCUUUGUUAUAGUAGUUUUUCCAGAAAAUCGACUAUUUAUUUAUGCUGUCUCACACAUGUAUCAUACACUUUCAUUAGACCAAGCAUGCAAUAAUGCAGAAGAAGGCACAAUCUUAGAUGUGCAAGUUAUAGAGCUAUUUAGUUGUUGACUGUCUUCUAUCGCAUGCAAUCUAUUGAGUUGUCUUUCAAUUGCUACAUCAAUGUUUCCUUGUUCAUAUACUCCUUCUCAUAAGCAACAUUAAUAAAUAAUUUUCCAAAAAAAUUUCUAUAACUGAUGCCUGCUCUUCCUGAUAAUGAAUUCAGGAACUAAAAAUUGUAGAAAAUUCAUUUCUAAUCAAAUUAUGGUAGUGGUUGAUUCCAAGGUCCUUGCACCAGUUUGAGAAAAACCUUACUUGAAUCAAAAUGACCCAACACUAACAAUCUUGACUAAGAUGAGACCGCAAGCGGCGCGUCAUGGUUACGCAACUUGAAAAGUUCACUCCUACCCAAGGGAUCAACUUGAGCUAUAAAGAGAUCAACACUGUAUAACAACCCCAAGGCCAAAGCUAGCUCCACAUGAACUCAUUCAUGGUCUACCCGAUUAAGCUCAACAACAAUGUUCAAAACUUAUACAUGUUCAUGAUGCAUAGGCAACACAAGUGCACAUGAUUUUACAUAAUUAUUAUCCAUAUGGAAGAUCCUACCUCAUAUAAGUUAGGUCCUCAUAACAUUCAAGUCAUCACACGUGUACCAUAGUGUCACUAUAUUCACAAAACAUAUAGCCAUCAUGUAUCAAAACAACGUCACAUUUUCAACACAAGUAUACAAGUUAACGGUCAUAGUGUUUCAUGGGUUUAAGAAAGCACACACACACACACUAUCCUCAUCCUCUCGCUUAUGCAAGGCUAUAAUUGCUUAAACACUUCGUUAGAAUCAAAGACAAGGAAAAUGUCCAGCCCCUAAAAAAUCUCAUGAUUUUGAUUAUAACAAAGAUAUUAAAGUUUGAUGGACUAAUGAGUUUACAUGAGUCAUGUAGAAAAAACAUGCCUCGAAUACUGAUAUAGGUAUAAUCUUUCCAACCUUAGACGCUAAAAAUGUUUUAAAUGAACCUGCAUCCAAAGCGCUAAAAUGGACUUUGUCCAAUGGUUUUAUAAAAUUACAUAGCAUCUAACAUGCUAGGAAAAGAAUUAUGUCUACUGCUUUAUAGAAAAUUCAGCGUGUAACUCAUUGCCUUCGUCCAAUGCCUAAUAGAAACUUACAUAGUGAUCUAUGUAUUUGAUUAAGUUUUUUGUUCAAAGAAGAAUCAUGUAAUGAACUUUAUGUUUUUGGAUGCUAAGGUUUCUUUGCUCUUAUAUUCCUUUAUUUAUAUUAUAUUCCUUCUAUAUUUUGUAUUUUCUCUUACGUUUGAAUUCCAAGCAUUUAAUGCAAAGUAGAAAGUUUGAGUAUAAGUACUACUCCUAAAUCUUGAUCAAAUAUGAGAGUAGAGGAGGAGAUAAUUUGCGGUGAAAAAAUGAUCAGAAAAAGUACAACUAUUUUUUAGAAACAUGACAAUACCUUUCAAGCAACAAGUUUUUCUCUCUCCUUUAUAGAAAUAGACAUGUCAAAAGCAAAAACUUGCCAUGCUCUCCUUGCAUGCAAUGAAGAUUGAUAGUAGGAAAAUUUCAAGGGUUUAGAUUUUACAAAAAAAUAAUAUUUCUCUCAUUUCCAAUAUAAAGACUAAAUGAAAAGACCUUGAAAGAACAACUUUUUUUUAACCAAAAUAUCAAGCAUCUUUGGACGAAACAUCCUCUGAUACUAAAAGUGCUUUGAAAGUUCAUCUUUGCAUUACAAUGUUUUGUAAUCAUAUGUUAAAUUUUUAUAUCCUUACUCUAUGAGUAGAUUCAUUGUAAUCUUCAAACUCUUUGUUGUUUGUGAAAGCCAAGAAUGGCUUAGUGUGAAAGAAUACUCAGUUUUUCAAUCUCAAAGGAAGAUUAUUGUUGUAAAACCAUGAGUAACUUAAAGAAUACUUGUUUGUAACCUUGAUUUGGUUAUUGGGACCCUUCUGAAGUUGGAAAAGAUACGAACGUAGUUCAGAUUGAGUGAGCCAUAAUAAAACUUGUGUUCUAUGUUUAACGCUUGUGCUCUUUCCUCACAUUUUUAGUGGAUGAAACCUAUUUUAGAACCUUGUUUAUAAAAUCAUGCUUUGUGAAUAGUUCCCCUUUUAGAGUGUUUUUAGUGAACAAAAAAAAUUUUCAAAGUUCACACACACACUAUUCAACCCUUCUUUAGUGUGUUUCUUUUAUUUUACACUUCCCCUUACUCAAGCGAACACCACUUCUUACUUGAACGAAUCUCUAUAGAGACUCACUUAGUCUUUCUUACACACUCUCCUUCAAGCAAGUACUUCUAGAGGCAAUCCUUAGCCUCUGUCAGCCCAUUCGAUUAAGCGAGAUUCCUAACUCGCUUAAGCAACAAGCGAUGAAAAAGAGCUUCAUGAUUAUGGGUUCUAGUGAACCCAAGCUUCCCAAAUCCUACAAUCUCAACAAAGCCCUAACUAUCUAAGUUCAUUCCUACAACAAAAGAAGAUCCCCCAACAUAGAAAAACAACCCAAUUAUAAUCAAUCAUGUGCAAAUCAUAAUUUCCCAAUUCAACCAAAUUCAUCAAUUCAAACAAAAAUUAAGAAUGCUUUGAGGUGUUAAUAACAAUCCAAUAUCAAAGGAAGGUAAACAAUACAAUUACUUGGAGUUUAAGAGCAAAUCCUCUACCCGUGUUGAACAAAAAAUAAAAUAAUUAUGCCUUUUCUGCACAAACACAAAAGGCUUAUAAUAUUUUUCCCAUAAGCUUUUUCUUGACUAUCAAAAUUAUCUUAGGAGCAAGGAAACUCUCUUCUCAAACUUGGAAAUAUUUAAAGUAAUAAUGAGCACAAGAAAUAUACUAUGAGAAGUUGCUUCUCAAAACUACUUUGUAAAUACAUAGGUUCUGGUGUGCCUCAAAAAUUACUACUGUUCAAACCCAUAUGAAACUCAAAAUGACCAAAUUGAGGUAUUUUUCCUACAUCUCCCAUUUAGGUCCCUACACCUCCCAAAAAGCCUCAAAUGAUCAAAAAUACCCUCAGCCCUUGCACCUCCUCUUCCCUACCAAUCCCUAUGUCGCCUAAGCACCUUCUUCCAUGCCAAUUAUUGUGUUGUCGUCAUCUUUUACCAACAAGAUCUGAUCCUCCACCAUGAGAGAGGUUGUUGACUUCAAAUUUCACAAUGGAAUCAUGAUUUGGUUCUUAGGACGGUUGUGCGCAAAGCAUAUCAGGACCCAUAGCCACGCGCAAGGGAACAAAAGGUACAAGAUGCAAGCACAAGUGUCGCAAUAGUGUGAUUCUAACUUAACGACAAUCACAUGCGACAAUGUCAUGGUCGCGCACGCGAUAGAGGACAAAGAUUGCAUGAUAGUGAAAGUGGUUUGUGGAAAUAGAAACCCAAUUGAAAUCCCAAACCAUUUUUACCCUUGCAAGCGUUCAUAGAUUAGAGAAUCAUGGGAUACUCAAGACUUAUAUUGAGGUUGGGGGGUCCUACUACCUAUUACGACAGACUAUUCCAGAAUAGGAUACUCUUCUGGAACACCUAUUCCAAAAUAUAAUUUUUUGUAUUCCGGAACACCUAUUUUGAGGUAGGUUUUCAA
RNA transcript from Glycine soja, 11646 nucleotides. It is a transcript of the gene named disease resistance-like protein DSC1, with no coding region annotated. Lineage: Eukaryota; Viridiplantae; Streptophyta; Magnoliopsida; Fabales; Fabaceae. The record is from RefSeq and is a predicted model, not a curated record. The transcript is spliced from 6 exons.